Molecule: ribosomal RNA, 253 nt
Filed under: uncultured bacterium
Lineage: Bacteria
Description: partial 16S ribosomal RNA
Rfam family: Bacterial small subunit ribosomal RNA
Source: RNAcentral
UACGGGGGGGGCAAGCGUUGUUCGGAAUUACUGGGCGUAAAGGGUUUGUAGGUGGCUUGUUAAGUCAGACGUGAAAUCCCUCAGCUUAACUGGGGAACUGCGUCUGAUACUGGCGAGCUUGAGUGCAGGAGAGGAACGCGGAAUUCCAGGUGUAGCGGUGAAAUGCGUAGAUAUCUGGAGGAACACCGGUGGCGAAGGCGGCGUUCUGGACUGCAACUGACACUCAAGUGCGAAAGCGUGGGGAGCAAACAGG